AUUGAACGCUGGCGGCAGGCCUAACACAUGCAAGUCGAGCGGAUGAAGGGAGCUUGCUCCUGGAUUCAGCGGCGGACGGGUGAGUAAUGCCUAGGAAUCUGCCUGGUAGCGGGGGAUAACGUCCGGAAACGGGCGCUAAUACCGCAUACGUCCUGAGGGAGAAAGUGGGGGAUCUUCGGACCUCACGCUAUCAGAUGAGCCUAGGUCGGAUUAGCUAGUUGGUGGGGUAAAGGCCUACCAAGGCGACGAUCCGUAACUGGUCUGAGAGGAUGAUCAGUCACACUGGAACUGAGACACGGUCCAGACUCCUACGGGAGGCAGCAGUGGGGAAUAUUGGACAAUGGGCGAAAGCCUGAUCCAGCCAUGCCGCGUGUGUGAAGAAGGUCUUCGGAUUGUAAAGCACUUUAAGUUGGGAGGAAGGGCAGUAAGUUAAUACCUUGCUGUUUUGACGUUACCAACAGAGUAAGCACCGGCUAACUUCGUG
This 484-nucleotide ribosomal RNA is filed under the name uncultured bacterium. RNAcentral's name for it is "partial 16S ribosomal RNA". It matches the Rfam family "Bacterial small subunit ribosomal RNA", at positions 30 to 507 of the family's 1533-position model. The record is from RNAcentral.